UGUAAACUACCAUGUGCGAUAGUGUUUCAGCAUAUCCCUUGGUCCGUAAUUGAUCCUUUUUGGAUGACACAAUCAAUUUCUGUGAGCAUGUCUGUCGUGUAACAGAAAGCCUAAAGAAUUGAGAGUCAGCCGCCUUGAACCUCAGGUUCCAAGGUCGCCUCAAGCACAACGGCAUGUGUGGUUUACAU
This 188-nucleotide non-coding RNA is filed under the name Gammaproteobacteria bacterium. RNAcentral describes it as "6S RNA". It matches the Rfam family "6S / SsrS RNA". Rfam says of the family: E. coli 6S RNA was the first non coding RNA to be sequenced, but its function was unknown until recently. It consists of 184 nucleotides that fold into an extended hairpin structure with a large single-stranded internal bulge. The record is from RNAcentral. Lineage: Bacteria; Pseudomonadati; Pseudomonadota; Gammaproteobacteria. RNAcentral also lists the same sequence under 1 other name.